Molecule: ribosomal RNA, 460 nt
Filed under: uncultured bacterium
Lineage: Bacteria
Description: partial 16S ribosomal RNA
Rfam family: Bacterial small subunit ribosomal RNA
Source: RNAcentral
CCUACGGGUGGCAGCAGUGAGGAAUAUUGGUCAAUGGACGAGAGUCUGAACCAGCCAAGUAGCGUGAAGGAUGACUGCCCUAUGGGUUGUAAACUUCUUUUAUAUGGGAAUAAACUGUUCCACGUGUGGGAUUUUGUAUGUACCAUAUGAAUAAGGAUCGGCUAACUCCGUGCCAGCAGCCGCGGUAAUACGGAGGAUCCGAGCGUUAUCCGGAUUUAUUGGGUUUAAAGGGAGCGUAGGUGGAUUGUUAAGUCAGUUGUGAAAGUUUGCGGCUCAACCGUAAAAUUGCAGUUGAAACUGGCAGUCUUGAGUACAGUAGAGGUGGGCGGAAGUCGGGGUGUAGCGGUGAAAUGCUUAGAUAUCACGAAGAACUCCGAUUGCGAAGGCAGUUCACUGGACUGCAACUGACACUGAGGCUCGAAAGUGUGGGUAUCAAACAGGAUGAGAUACCCCAGUAGUC